CCUACGGGAGACAGCAGUGAGGAAUAUUGGUCAAUGGACGAGAGUCUGAACCAGCCAAGUAGCGUGAAGGAUGACUGCCCUAUGGGUUGUAAACUUCUUUUAUAUGGGAAUAAAACGUUCCACGUGUGGGAUUUUGUAUGUACCAUAUGAAUAAGGAUCGGCUAACUCCGUGCCAGCAGCCGCGGUAAUACGGAGGAUCCGAGCGUUAUCCGGAUUUAUUGGGUUUAAAGGGAGCGUAGGUGGAUUGUUAAGUCAGUUGUGAAAGUUUGCGGCUCAACCGUAAAAUUGCAGUUGAAACUGGCAGUCUUGAGUACAGUAGAGGUGGGCGGAAUUCGUGGUGUAGCGGUGAAAUGCUUAGAUAACACGAAGAACUCCGAUUGCGAAGGCAGUUCACUGGACUGCAACUGACACUGAGGCUCGAAAGUGUGGGUAUCAAACAGGAUUAGAGACCCGUGUAGUC
This 460-nucleotide ribosomal RNA is filed under the name uncultured bacterium. RNAcentral describes it as "partial 16S ribosomal RNA". It matches the Rfam family "Bacterial small subunit ribosomal RNA", at positions 338 to 795 of the family's 1533-position model. The record is from RNAcentral.